RNAcentral lists this ribosomal RNA (322 nucleotides) under Cercozoa sp. RNAcentral describes it as "SSU rRNA". The stretch from base 106 to 322 matches the Rfam family "Eukaryotic small subunit ribosomal RNA", at positions 738 to 955 of the family's 1831-position model. The record is from RNAcentral. Lineage: Eukaryota; Cercozoa.
GAUUUCUGACUUCGGCAGUCUGGCCCGGGUCUUUUAGACCUGUGUUGCCGGUACCGCCUGGUCAUCCUUCUGAAGAACACCUCUGCCCUUUACUGGGUCGGGGGUGCAAUUCAGAUCUUUUACUUUGAAAAAAUUAGAGUGUUCAAAGCAGGCUUAUCGCUGUGAAUACAUUAGCAUGGAAUAAUAAGAUAGGACUUUGGUUCUAUUUUGUUGGUUUCUAGGACUGAAGUAAUGAUUGAUAGGGAUAGUUGGGGGUGCUAGUAUUCAGCGGCCAGAGGUGAAAUUCUAUGAUUCGCUGAAGACUAACUUAUGCGAAAGCAUU